UACAGAGGUGGCAAGCGUUGUUCGGAAUUACUGGGCGUAAAGGGCGCGUAGGCGGCCUUCUAAGUCAGACGUGAAAUCCCCCGGCUUAACCUGGGAACUGCGUCUGAUACUGGGAGGCUUGAGUAUGGGAGAGGGAUGUAGAAUUCCAGGUGUAGCGGUGAAAUGCGUAGAUAUCUGGAGGAAUACCGGUGGCGAAGGCAGGUCUCUGGGCCGAUACUGACGCUGAGGAGCGAAAGCGUGGGGAGCGAACAGG
RNAcentral lists this ribosomal RNA (253 nucleotides) under uncultured bacterium. RNAcentral describes it as "partial 16S ribosomal RNA". It matches the Rfam family "Bacterial small subunit ribosomal RNA", at positions 524 to 776 of the family's 1533-position model. The record is from RNAcentral.